Molecule: long non-coding RNA, 966 nt
Organism: Anopheles arabiensis
Lineage: Eukaryota; Metazoa; Arthropoda; Insecta; Diptera; Culicidae
Exons: 2
Source: RefSeq, a predicted model, not a curated record
CUUCAAUUCAGAAACUCACACACAUACGCACACAUUCACAUAGCACUUCUUGUAGACCGCAACAUAGCAGUAGGCAGUGGGAUUCCCGUGUACGGUCGCCGCUAGAAAAGCCAUUUGAGGAUCCACCGUGGACGCUCGCCGCCACCUGAAUCAGCACACGUUACCUAGCACACACUGAGCGAUUAUCGCAUACGGCGAAAGUGCACUUCACACUGUUUGCAAAGAUGACGAUGAUGACGACGACGACGACGAUGGCGGUGGUGGUAGUAGUGGAGGUGAUUCUGUCACUAAAGGGCUAAAGUGAACGCCUUGCUCACCGAUUGAUGACUCUGCCUGAAGGUGUCCACGAGCCUCUUGGCAUACGCUUGAAUGUGUCUGUCCGGUUCGAUGUUUUCCGGUGAAAAUGGGUUCGAUUAACACGCUUCCUGUUUCCUGUUUGCGGCUAGGUGGUGUUUUUCAGCCGGUGUAAGGAUUGUACAGUACAGCCGAUGUCCUUCUGUGACCGACCAGCCCACCAGCCCUGAGAGAUUGGCAACAAAAAUGGAUACCAACCACUCUCGCUCACACUCUGCCUAACGCGUUCACAUAAAUGCACACAUACACACACACUCACACGAGCGGGACUGCACAGUCACCAUAGCAGGCAGCGAGAUCGCCGCAGCCAGUUGACGUUUUCGCUUCUUUCUCUGUCGCCCUGCGCUUUCCACCCGGAGCGGAGGAUGACCUCUUUCACCGUAAUUGAACAAAGCGGGACGCGUCACAGAUUGGGUGACACGAGAGUGCGGUACGGUGUCGGUUAUGAUUGGUAUGUUUUUUUUUUUCGUUACUUCCGCACCGAAUUAAAAGGGAUAUCCCGGUGUACACAAAUAAACACUAGCACACACACACAUACACACACGCGCAUACAGGUACGCAACGUAUGAAAUACGCUCGGUCAAACAAGUCGAAUAAAGAGCGGAAACUACA